UACGUAGGAUGCAAGCGUUGUUCGGAAUUACUGGGCGUAAAGAGUACGUAGGCGGUGGACAUAAGUCUGAAAUUAAAGACAGAAGCUCAACUUCUGGAAUGUAUCGGAAACUGUGUUACUAGAGGAUAGUAGAGGAAGUCGGAAUUCUCAGUGUAGCGGUGAAAUGCGUAGAUAUUGGGAAGAACACCAGUGGCGAAAGCGGACUUCUGGGCUAUUACUGACGCUGAGGUACGAAAGUGUGGGGAGCAAACGGGG
This 255-nucleotide ribosomal RNA is filed under the name uncultured bacterium. RNAcentral's name for it is "partial 16S ribosomal RNA". It matches the Rfam family "Bacterial small subunit ribosomal RNA", at positions 524 to 777 of the family's 1533-position model. The record is from RNAcentral.